This 1078-nucleotide long non-coding RNA is filed under the name Homo sapiens (human). Its description in RNAcentral is "HSALNT0202097". Lineage: Eukaryota; Metazoa; Chordata; Mammalia; Primates; Hominidae. The record is from RNAcentral.
CCUAGACUCAACCCCACUGGCAGGAUUGUGGAGACCAUCAACAGACCCAGCACCCCCUCUCCUGGGACUGGGGGAAAGAGGAAAAGAGGUUUUUGUUUGUUUUUGUUUUAGAGAAGGGGUCUGGCUGUGUUGCCCAGGCUGGUCUGGAACUCAUGGGCUCAAGUGAUCCUCCUGCCUUGGCCUCCCAAAGAGUUGGGAUUACAGGUGGCUGUGGUGGUGGCAGUGAAGCCUGUCAGGUCACAGAGCAGCUCCUCACCAGCCCAUCGCAUUCUGUCUCCGGAGAGGUCCCAUCACAGGCGAUGGGGCAGAGAGGACUGAGUCGCAGCCCAGAUCUCAGUGUCUAGGACUGGACUUGGUUUGUCAAAAGUGUAGUCUCCCAUCCCUGCUGGCAUUGGCAGGCUGCAGUGCAGAGUGCCUAGGGCUCAUCAGGAUUUGCCAACAGAGGCUUGUCCAAGAAUCAUCCAGCCAGCUCCACGUGAGGUUACAUUGCCAUCACCGGACUCUGAUGGAGGAUUCAGACAGCCCACUCCAUGCCUCCAGCACCACACCCUGCAGCUGGCAGAACAGUGGCCCCCAAGACAUCCUCAUCCGAAUCCUCAGAGCCUGUGAAGGGCAAAAGGAGCCCUGCACAUGUGAUUAAGGGUCUUGACAUGGCAAGAGGAUCCUGGACCAUGUGGGUGGCCCCAGAUAAUCACAAGGGUGUUUCUAAGAGGGAGGUAGGAGGAUCAGAGAGGAGAUGCAAUGAUAGAGGAAGAGGUUGGAGGGAUGCGAUUGGAGAUGGAGGCAGGGCCACAAGCCAAGGACUGUGGUGGCCUCAGAAGCUGGAAGAGGCGAGGAAUAGAUCCUCCCUUGGAGCCUCCAGAAGGACCCAGCCCUGCCCACAUCUUGAUUUUAGCUCAUAAGACCCAUUUCAAACUUCCAACCUCUGGGACGGUAAGAGGACAAAUUUGCAUUGUUUUAAGCCAUGAAGUUUGCAGUAGUUUGUUACAGCUGCAACAGGAAGUGAAUCCACCCACCUAAGCUCUUCUGCAGGUGUGAUCCCUGUCCCACAGGAGUCACUGCUGUCGCCUGGCAGGUU